CUUUCUCACAGGCAGAAGAUCGGCUUUGGAUUGCAGCACGUCAAAAUGAAAAUUAAUCCUUUCCCUUGAAAAAAAGGAAGUGCCAGUAGGACUCAGUCUGCCUCUUUCCUUGUUUGGACGUGACAGUGAUGGACCAGAUUUUACUGGGAGCAUGAACCUGACCUUCAGCUUGUGCCAAAGGUGCAACAGAAGAAUGCCUUUCAGCAACAUGCCUCUGCAUUCCCAUGGAUCAGAUACCAGUACGCUGCCUCUUGCAAUAUCUGCAGUCUGCUGCCAUAUCUGACCUGGAUUCGAUGCCAGCCUCUGAUUUGGACUUACUUCUCUCUCCAGAUGAUCUGCUUGUCUCUAAUUCCACCUGGCAUGGGAAUGGAUGGCAGAGCCAAAGGAGGUCCUUGG
This 396-nucleotide long non-coding RNA is filed under the name Gallus gallus (chicken). RNAcentral describes it as "long non-coding RNA NONGGAT008153". The record is from RNAcentral. Lineage: Eukaryota; Metazoa; Chordata; Aves; Galliformes; Phasianidae.